This is a long non-coding RNA of Helianthus annuus (common sunflower), 449 nucleotides long. RefSeq lists it as uncharacterized. The record is from RefSeq and is a predicted model, not a curated record. The transcript has 3 exons. Lineage: Eukaryota; Viridiplantae; Streptophyta; Magnoliopsida; Asterales; Asteraceae.
AUUUAUGUUUUUUUUUUUAAUUAUUACUUUUGUAGAUUCUUUGCCAAAACAUAAUAUGGAUUCCCAGAAAGCACAAUACGAUGCUGGUCAAAUUUCGGGUCAAACUCGGGAGAAGACCAACAAAUUGAUAGAAAAGGCUGAUAAAAAUACCCAACAUGUAAAGGACAAUGUGCAACAGGGUGGUCAACAAAUGUUGGCUAAAGCACAUGGAGCCGCUGAAGGAGCCAAGGAUGCCACCGGCAUCAACAAAUAAACAACCACCUGUUCGGCUAACUCUAAACGUAUUUGUGUAACGACUUGAAUCUGUAUAACCUACUUGUAUAAUGACUUGUAUCUGUAUAAUGUAAAACAAAGUAAUAAUGUUAUGAUGUUUUUGAACAUUUAUGUAUUGAUAAAAGAAAUAACCCAAGUUGCAUUCAACAAAUUCAAUCAUACAUUACAGAAAAAAA